GAUGAACGCUGGCGGCGUGCCUAAUACAUGCAAGUCGAGCGAACGGACGAGAAGCUUGCUUUUCUGAUGUUAGCGGCGGACGGGUGAGUAACACGUGGAUAACAUACCUAUAAGACUGGGAUAACUUCGGGAAACCGGAGCUAAUACCGGAUAAUAUUUUGAACCGCAUGGUUCAAAAGUGAAAGACGGUCUUGCUGUCACUUAUAGAUGGAUCCGCGCUGCAUUAGCUAGUUGGUAAGGUAACGGCUUACCAAGGCAACGAUGCAUAGCCGACCUGAGAGGGUGAUCGGCCACACUGGAACUGAGACACGGUCCAGACUCCUACGGGAGGCAGCAGUAGGGAAUCUUCCGCAAUGGGCGAAAGCCUGACGGAGCAACGCCGCGUGGGUGAUGAAGGUCUUCGGAUCGUAAACCUCUUUUAUUAGGGAAGAACAUAUGUGUAAGUAUCUGUGCACGUCUUGACGGUACCUAAUCAGAAAGCCACGGCUAACUACGUG
This 497-nucleotide ribosomal RNA is filed under the name uncultured bacterium. RNAcentral's name for it is "partial 16S ribosomal RNA". It matches the Rfam family "Bacterial small subunit ribosomal RNA", at positions 28 to 507 of the family's 1533-position model. The record is from RNAcentral.